CUCCAUCGCAUGAAUGACAUUCCACCCGCCCACAAUUACGAAACUUUGGAGGGACUAUUUUCGCAGCAGUACCUAAAAAGAGCUCAUCACUCUUGUCCUAUGGAGGAUCUUUGACGGGUUUUUGGUCUUGAUACCCAACUAGUUAUGACAAUGGGGUCUACCAGAAUCCAAUCCAGUCUGAACAUGUUCCUUUGGGCCGCAGUUCUAUCUUACUGCAUGUUGAUGGCAUCUAGGGGUCGAUUCAUGAGAAGAGUCACUUCUAGUUCCUCCCUCUCGCUGAAGAACUGGGCCUUGCUCUCCUGGUGGAAGACCGGGUGUGGGAGAUGGAGGCCCAGUUUACUGGAAAGUAUUGCCCCAAGACAAAAUGGACUGUCAUAAAAAUGCUUGCUGAAAGGUGCGAGGUUAUCAACUCACCAGCACAUCCUCAAUGUAACCCAGCACGGUGGUCAGCAUGUCCUGGAUGCGGGCAGCAGAGCCAGCCACCUGGGAAAGG
Molecule: long non-coding RNA, 493 nt
Organism: Dunckerocampus dactyliophorus (ringed pipefish)
Lineage: Eukaryota; Metazoa; Chordata; Actinopteri; Syngnathiformes; Syngnathidae
Exons: 3
Source: RefSeq, a predicted model, not a curated record